This 339-nucleotide long non-coding RNA is filed under the name Trifolium pratense (red clover). RNAcentral describes it as "long non-coding RNA (TPRA_LNC002557)". Lineage: Eukaryota; Viridiplantae; Streptophyta; Magnoliopsida; Fabales; Fabaceae. The record is from RNAcentral.
GGCUUCUGACUGCUAUUUAUAGAUUUUCAAAACAUAGCAGUUCGCUGAGCGAAAUGAUGUUCGCUAAGCGAACAGGUUACUUAGGCAAGGGGUUUCUUGACACGUAGCAAAAAGCCUGACUCAUCAUUUAUUCGCUGAAGCUCGCUAUCUCUCGCCAUCAGACCAUAAAUCUCUGCCUUUGUUCGCUAUCUCUCGCUAACCUUCGCUGAGAGAAUGUUCAUUUGUUGUUCUGCUCGCUGAGGCUCGCUGAUCUUCGCCAUGGACCCUUAACCCACUGGUUUCGUUCGCUGCAGCUCGCUGUGGCUUCGCUGAGCGAAGGCUUCAAAAUCCUGCCUUUUU